RNAcentral lists this ribosomal RNA (253 nucleotides) under uncultured bacterium. RNAcentral's name for it is "partial 16S ribosomal RNA". It matches the Rfam family "Bacterial small subunit ribosomal RNA", at positions 524 to 776 of the family's 1533-position model. The record is from RNAcentral.
UACGAAGGGGGCUAGCGUUGCUCGGAAUCACUGGGCGUAAAGGGUGCGUAGGCGGGUCUUUAAGUCAGGGGUGAAAUCCUGGAGCUCAACUCCAGAACUGCCUUUGAUACUGGCGAUCUUGAGUCCGGGAGAGGUGAGUGGAACUGCGAGCGUAGAGGUGAAAUUCGUAGAUAUUCGCAAGAACACCAGUGGCGAAGGCGGCUCACUGGCCCGGUACUGACGCUGAGGUGCGAAAGCGUGGGGAGCAAACAGG